GACGAACGCUGGCGGCGUGCUUAACACAUGCAAGUCGAGCGGUAAGGCCCUUUCGGGGGUACACGAGCGGCGAACGGGUGAGUAACACGUGGGUGACCUGCCCUCAGCUCUGGGAUAAGCCUGGGAAACUGGGUCUAAUACUGGAUAUGACUCCACGGUGCAUGUCGUGGGGUGGAAAGCCUUGUGCGGCUGAGGAUGGGCCCGCGGCCUAUCAGCUUGUUGGUGGGGUGANGGCCUACCAAGGCGACGACGGGUAGCCGGCCUGAGAGGACGACCGGCCACACUGGGACUGAGACACGGCCCAGACUCCUACGGGAGGCAGCAGUGGGGAAUCUUGCGCAAUGGGCGAAAGCCUGACGCAGCGACGCCGCGUGAGGGAUGACGGCCUCGG
This 391-nucleotide ribosomal RNA is filed under the name uncultured bacterium. RNAcentral's name for it is "bacterial SSU rRNA". It matches the Rfam family "Bacterial small subunit ribosomal RNA", at positions 28 to 420 of the family's 1533-position model. The record is from RNAcentral.